Molecule: ribosomal RNA, 119 nt
Filed under: Octopus vulgaris (common octopus)
Lineage: Eukaryota; Metazoa; Mollusca; Cephalopoda; Octopoda; Octopodidae
Also listed under: 1 other name
Source: RNAcentral
UAAUACGGCCAUAUCAUGUUGAAAGCACUGGUUCUCGUCUGAUCACCGAAGUUAAGCAACAUCGAGCCUAGUUAGUACUUAGAUGGGUGACCGCUUGGGAAACCUAGGUGCUGUAAGCA